Molecule: non-coding RNA, 144 nt
Organism: Gossypium raimondii (Peruvian cotton)
Lineage: Eukaryota; Viridiplantae; Streptophyta; Magnoliopsida; Malvales; Malvaceae
Source: Rfam
UAUUAAAAAAUUCAUCAAUUUUUAUUGUUAAAGAUUGACGUGGCUGAUGAAAUAACCAAAUAGUUACAUGUGACGUAUCACGUGUAUCUCAUGCUGAUGUAAAGGGACCGGUUUCAACAGUAGAAAUAAAUAGAAUUCUUAACA